This 494-nucleotide ribosomal RNA is filed under the name Staphylococcus aureus. Its description in RNAcentral is "partial 23S ribosomal RNA". It matches the Rfam family "Bacterial large subunit ribosomal RNA", at positions 2432 to 2925 of the family's 2925-position model. Lineage: Bacteria; Bacillati; Bacillota; Bacilli; Caryophanales; Staphylococcaceae. The record is from RNAcentral.
CAUGGAAGGGCCAUCGCUCAACGGAUAAAAGCUACCCCGGGGAUAACAGGCUUAUCUCCCCCAAGAGUUCACAUCGACGGGGAGGUUUGGCACCUCGAUGUCGGCUCAUCGCAUCCUGGGGCUGUAGUCGGUCCCAAGGGUUGGGCUGUUCGCCCAUUAAAGCGGUACGCGAGCUGGGUUCAGAACGUCGUGAGACAGUUCGGUCCCUAUCCGUCGUGGGCGUAGGAAAUUUGAGAGGAGCUGUCCUUAGUACGAGAGGACCGGGAUGGACAUACCUCUGGUGUACCAGUUGUCGUGCCAACGGCAUAGCUGGGUAGCUAUGUGUGGACGGGAUAAGUGCUGAAAGCAUCUAAGCAUGAAGCCCCCCUCAAGAUGAGAUUUCCCAACUUCGGUUAUAAGAUCCCUCAAAGAUGAUGAGGUUAAUAGGUUCGAGGUGGAAGCAUGGUGACAUGUGGAGCUGACGAAUACUAAUCGAUCGAAGACUUAAUCAAAUU